AGGGAUAUAGCUCAGUUGGUAGAGUGCUUGCCUAGCAUGCAUAAGGCCUUGGGUUCAAUCCCCAGCACCACCA
This 73-nucleotide transfer RNA is filed under the name Ictidomys tridecemlineatus (thirteen-lined ground squirrel). RNAcentral's name for it is "Spermophilus tridecemlineatus (thirteen-lined ground squirrel) tRNA". It matches the Rfam family "tRNA". Rfam says of the family: Transfer RNA (tRNA) molecules are approximately 80 nucleotides in length. Their secondary structure includes four short double-helical elements and three loops (D, anti-codon, and T loops). Lineage: Eukaryota; Metazoa; Chordata; Mammalia; Rodentia; Sciuridae. The record is from Rfam by way of RNAcentral.